Molecule: ribosomal RNA, 468 nt
Filed under: uncultured bacterium
Lineage: Bacteria
Description: partial 16S ribosomal RNA
Rfam family: Bacterial small subunit ribosomal RNA
Source: RNAcentral
GACGAACGCUGGCGGCGUGCUUAACACAUGCAAGUCGAACGGAAAGGCCCUGCUUUUGUGGGGUGCUCGAGUGGCGAACGGGUGAGUAACACGUGAGUAACCUGCCCUUGACUUUGGGAUAACUUCAGGAAACUGGGGCUAAUACCGGAUAGGAGCUCCUGCUGCAUGGUGGGGGUUGGAAAGUUUCGGCGGUUGGGGAGGGACUCGCGGCUUAUCAGCUUGUUGGUGGGGUAGUGGCUGACCAAGGCUUUGACGGGUAGCCGGCCUGAGAGGGUGACCGGCCACAUUGGGACUGAGAUACGGCCCCGACUCCUACGGGAGGCAGCAGUGGGGAAUAUUGCACAAUGGGCGGAAGCCUGAUGCAGCAACGCCGCGUGCGGGAUGACGGCCUUCGGGUUGUAAACCGCUUUCGCCUGUGACGAAGCGUGACUGACGGUAAUGGGUAAAGAAGCACCGGCUAACUACGUG